CAGGACUUGGGGUGCCACCCGUUCGGGUGUCGUCCCGGAGCUAACGCGUUAAGUCCUGCACCUGGGGAGUACGGUCGCAAGACUGAAACUCAAAGGAAUUGANCGGGGGCCCGCACAAGCGGUGGAACAUGUGGUUCAAUUCGACGCUACGCGAGGAACCUUACCUGGGCUCGAAGCGCACUUGACUAGCUGUGGAAACACGGCCUUCCCGNCAAGGGACAAGUGUGGAGGCGCUGCAUGGCUGUCGUCAGCUCGUUCCGUGAGGUGUUGGGUUAAGUCCCGCAACGAGCGCAACCCCUGCACGUAGUUGCCACUCCGCCAAGGAGGGAACUCUACGUGGACUGACUCCGGAUAACGGAGAGGAAGGUGGGGAUGACGUCAAGUCCGCAUGGCCUUUAUGUNCCAGGGCUACACACGUGUUACAAUGNCAGGGCACAAACCGUUGCCAACCCGUGAGGGGGAGCUAAUCGGAGAAAACUCUGCUCAGUUCGGAUUGCAGUCUGCAACUCGACUGCAUGAAGCCGGAAUCGCUAGUAAUGGCGUAUCAGAUCGACGCCGUGAAUACGUUCCCGGGCCUUGUACACACCGCCCGUCACAUCACGAAAGUGGGUUGUACUAGAAGUCGCUGCGCUAACUCGCAAGAGNGGCAAGCGCCCAAGGUAUGACUCAUGAUUGGGGUGAAGUCGUAACCAAGGUACC
RNAcentral lists this ribosomal RNA (699 nucleotides) under uncultured bacterium. RNAcentral describes it as "bacterial SSU rRNA". It matches the Rfam family "Bacterial small subunit ribosomal RNA", at positions 801 to 1500 of the family's 1533-position model. The record is from RNAcentral.